Alosa sapidissima (American shad) is the source of this 444-nucleotide long non-coding RNA. RefSeq lists it as uncharacterized. Lineage: Eukaryota; Metazoa; Chordata; Actinopteri; Clupeiformes; Clupeidae. The transcript is spliced from 2 exons. The record is from RefSeq and is a predicted model, not a curated record.
CUUAAAAGCAACAAAAUGGGAGAGACUUUGCGUCACACACGUAUGGAGGACACACAAACCUUGCCGUGGGACAACGUGGUCCCAACUCGCCACCCACUGCUGAAAAAAUUGGAAGCAGAGAUGCAGAGUGGCCAAGGAGGAUCAACCAAAGAGGCGUCCAGACAGAGGAGCAAUGCUAAGCCACACACACACACUUUCUCUCUCUGUCUCUCUCUCUCCCUCUCUUUCUCUCUCUCUCCCUCACCCUUUCUCACAAUUCAAUUCAAUCAAUUUCAUUUGCAUGACUGAAGAUACAAUAUUUCCAAAGCAUUAAUAAAAGUAAUAAUAUACUGUAAGAAGUAGCGAUAAUGAGAAAGAAAAUGUAUAUGUAUAGAUAUAUAAUAAUAAUAGUACAUGAAUUUACAUCCCAUUAAAUAAACAAAGCUAAUGCAAUGAAUAACAAAA